CGGCCACAGCCCAAAACUCAAAGGACUUGGCGGUGCUUCAUACCCUUCUAGAGGAGCCUGUUCUAUAAUCGAUAAACCCCGAUAAACCUCACCAAUCCUUGCUAAUACAGUCUAUAUACCGCCAUCUUCAGCGAACCCUAAAAAGGAAUAGAAGUAAGCACAACCACAACACAUAAAAACGUUAGGUCAAGGUGUAACCCAUGGAGUGGGAAGAAAUGGGCUACAUUUUCUAUCCUAAGAA
RNAcentral lists this ribosomal RNA (241 nucleotides) under Alcelaphus caama (Red hartebeest). Its description in RNAcentral is "partial 12S ribosomal RNA". Lineage: Eukaryota; Metazoa; Chordata; Mammalia; Artiodactyla; Bovidae. The record is from RNAcentral.